CUGUGCCUCCUGAUUGCUGAGUGUUCACCUGGACCUUCUGACUACCUUCCCUGUGCUAUUCCAUCAGCCUACAGACCUGGUACCUGGAUUUUUGCCCGAGAUGAUUCCUGCCACCUUACUACUGAAGAAGACACCCAUUCCAGUGGACCACUGUGACCCAGGAGGCAUUCAGCCAUCAUGAUGUGGCCUUUACCUCCACUCCUGUCCUGUUCUACCCAGAUUCAGCACAGCCCUUUA
Cercocebus atys (sooty mangabey) is the source of this 237-nucleotide unclassified non-coding RNA. Lineage: Eukaryota; Metazoa; Chordata; Mammalia; Primates; Cercopithecidae. The record is from Ensembl.